This is a non-coding RNA of Chionomys nivalis (European snow vole), 516 nucleotides long. The record is from the annotation of a RefSeq genome assembly. NCBI's taxonomy places the organism in Eukaryota, Metazoa, Chordata, Mammalia, Rodentia, Cricetidae.
AUGGAGAGGAAACUCGGAGCUGUGCUGGGGAUUCUAUGGGUGUGGAUUUUCUGGGUGAAAGGAGUUGAGGUGGAGCAGAGUCCUUCAGCCCUGAGUCUCCACGAAGGAAGCAGUUCUACUCUGUCAUGCAAUUUUUCUACCACCAUGACAACUGUGCAGUGGUUCCGGCAGAAUUCCAGGGGCAGCCUCAUCAAUCUUUUCUAUCUGACUCCGGGAACAAAGCAGAAUGGGAGGUUAAACUCAACCUUCAACUCAAAGGAGCGCAAGAGCACGCUUCACAUCAGGGGUGCCCAGCUGGAGGACUCUGGCACCUACCUCUGUGCAGCAAUGGCACAGUGCUUCCAGCAAGCCUGCAGCCUGGCCCCAAACUGUGUCAGGUGUGCAGUUCACAGCCCUGCCACAGGCAGACUCUACAGGAGGAUUUUCACACUUGUGGCUUUAUCAGAUCUCCACCAAUUACAAAGGUGGUGUGAGGAAACAGAAAAAUACCACUGCAGUAGUUCACACUUAAACUAG